Rhineura floridana is the source of this 862-nucleotide long non-coding RNA. RefSeq lists it as uncharacterized. The transcript is spliced from 4 exons. Lineage: Eukaryota; Metazoa; Chordata; Lepidosauria; Squamata; Rhineuridae. The record is from RefSeq and is a predicted model, not a curated record.
GAAGCCUUGGGUGACGGAGUGACUUCUUUCUUUAUCACUUGCUGCCUUUGUCACCUUUGCUUUCUUGAUGCUGCCCAUUUCACCCUUCUGCUGAAGCCGAUGUGACAGCCUUCUGUCAAAGAUGGGGAGGUGAAUUUUAUUCCACCUUUUUCUUUGCCAGUAUCAGCUCUGUCAGGGAGGCAUGCUGGACGGCAGAGCUCUCCCCCAAACCCUCCACCAGCAGCAAAACACAGAAGGGAUUAUGCAGAAAGAAUGCCCUUCAAGAAAUCCCUGGAUUAAUUGCAUGAGGAAGAAGUACAUAUGGACAGAGAUCAUCAGACAAUCCUUACAGUGACAAAUUGGCCCAGCACCAGACCACGCCUAGCAAAACCAACCAUUUCCGAGGCAGUCCAACUGGAUACGUUUGGUCUGAGGGACAAAUUGGAUGAGAGUUUAUGCUUUUCCAAAGCCAGACAUGAACGAAUAUCUUCUCCAGCCAGAAUGCACAAUGGGUCCACAGCGGCAGCGAUACAUUCCUUUUUCAUUUUCUUGCCUCCUUUGGAUUUGGGUGGCUGGGGACGAACAAGUGAAAGGAAGAGGAAAAAAGAGAACAUUUUCUUCACAGCAACUGGAGAACAUCCCAGACUCUUAGCAACUGCCUCAGUCUGUCACAGCCAUAUGUCUCAAGGAGGCAACCAUUUCCCAGAUCUAAGAAGCCUGUGGAAAUCUUGAGUACCAAGUGGCAAAUCUUCUGUUGUCAUGGGGAGGGAGCGGGGAAAUAAAUCUACAGAAAACUGUAUUUCAGAUUUAAAAGCCCACAAAAUAAGCCAAAAAUAGUUGUAUUUGCUAUGGGAAAGAAAAGGAAAGGAAACAAGGGGAAAAU